AUACGGAGGGUGCAAGCGUUACUCGGAAUCACUGGGCGUAAAGGACGCGUAGGCGGGUUUGUAAGUCAGGUGUGAAAUCCUACAGCUCAACUGUAGAACUGCACUUGAAACUACAGACCUAGAGUAUGGAAGGGGCAGAUGGAAUUAGUGGUGUAGGGGUAAAAUCCGUAGAUAUCACUAGGAAUACCGAAAGCGAAGGCGAUCUGCUGGGACAUUACUGACGCUGAGGCGUGAAAGCGUGGGGAGCAAACAGGAUUAGAAACCCCGGUAGUCC
This 274-nucleotide ribosomal RNA is filed under the name uncultured bacterium. Its description in RNAcentral is "partial 16S ribosomal RNA". It matches the Rfam family "Bacterial small subunit ribosomal RNA", at positions 523 to 796 of the family's 1533-position model. The record is from RNAcentral.